GGUUAAGCGACUAAGCGUACACGGUGGAUGCCCUGGCAGUCAGAGGCGAUGAAGGACGUGCUAAUCUGCGAUAAGCGUCGGUAAGGUGAUAUGAACCGUUAUAACCGG
RNAcentral lists this ribosomal RNA (108 nucleotides) under Escherichia coli. Its description in RNAcentral is "partial 23S ribosomal RNA". It matches the Rfam family "Bacterial large subunit ribosomal RNA", at positions 1 to 107 of the family's 2925-position model. The record is from RNAcentral. RNAcentral also lists the same sequence under 1 other name. Lineage: Bacteria; Pseudomonadati; Pseudomonadota; Gammaproteobacteria; Enterobacterales; Enterobacteriaceae.